RNAcentral lists this long non-coding RNA (443 nucleotides) under Cricetulus griseus (Chinese hamster). RNAcentral's name for it is "lncRNA (ENSCGRG00015041707.1)". Lineage: Eukaryota; Metazoa; Chordata; Mammalia; Rodentia; Cricetidae. The record is from RNAcentral.
UGGAGAUCUGUGAAAUCCACUGGCCAUUAGGGCAGAGAAGAGGGGGCGGCUGCAGCAGGCGGUCUGGGCAGGGUUGUGGGCAGGAUUUGGGGGUUGGAUUUGGAGGAGAGGUAGGGAAGUGAAAAUCCGCAGUUCGGCUGUCUGCCCCACCGGCCUUUAAGGGGCCUGUAUGUUCUCGAGGAAUGCCUGCUGGAGUGGGAGGCUGGGAUAAUGGGAAGAAGAUGGCGGAAAGAAAGAUUGGAGGAGGAGGUCUACAUGAUCCUUUGGAGAUCCCGGGGUCAGAGAGGACGGGGAGACCGGAACAGGUAUGUUCCUGUUAUUCCUGAAGAAAAACCACAUGACCAUCUCACUAGAUGCUGAAAAAGCCUUUGACAAAAUCCAACACCCUUUCAUGAUAAAGGUCUUGGAGAAAUCAAGGAUAACAGGAACAUACCUCUGAAACU